GGCGUCGAUAGUGCAAUUGGGUAGAGCACGCGCCUCAGGAGAGAGUGAAAUGCGGGUUUGAAUCCCGCCUGAAUCA
This is a non-coding RNA of Parelaphostrongylus tenuis, 76 nucleotides long. NCBI's taxonomy places the organism in Eukaryota, Metazoa, Nematoda, Chromadorea, Rhabditida, Metastrongylidae. The record is from the annotation of a GenBank genome assembly.